CCUCAGAGAAGGUCUGCUAGACUAUCAGCGGUAAGUUAUUUUGUUAUUAAAGAGAUUUUUACCAUUAUAUCAUUAUUUUGUUUUUAAAACUUUUCUGAUCUCAAAAGACUUGAGGAACUUUAAAUAUAGCUUGGAAAUAGUUUUUAGCACUUCUUGUGUUAAUUGACUAUUUAAAUCCUACAACCAACACUUGUUGGAUUUCAACCUACCGCUGAUCUCAGAGCAACAAGGUCAGAAAACAUAAUAUCUGCGCAAGUCAUUUUUUUUUUCCAGCAUAAGUUUUGCCAGUCAUUUAAGAAGAUGUGCUGACUUCAGGAUAGAGCAGAACAACAUAGGCCAUUCUGUGCAUUAUUUCAACUAUUUAUUUGAACGUGUAUUGUUUAGAUAUCCUUUUAUAUAUCAAAAAGUACGUUUGUGAAUGAAUCCCUUCAGAAACCAACAACUCCGAAACCUGAACCCAAACCGAAAAAAACUCCCAAGAAAGAGAAGGAAGUGAACGAUAAAAAGGAAGACAAGAAGGCAAAGGCAAAGGCUGAGGAGUCCAAGGAGGAGAACCAAUCAGAAAAUGGGGAGACUAAGACCAAUGAGGUUGAGAAAACUCCAGAUGAGGCGGCAGAGGCCGAGGAGGACCCGAAGACAGAGUAGCACCACGCCUGUCCAUCCAUCCGUCCAUCCUUUCCCUUUCCCCUCUUUCCUUUAUCUUCCUCUCUCUUUCCCAAUACUCUCUCUCCCUCUCCAGCUCUCUCAGCAACCUCCUCUCUGCCCAUCACCACCAGAGGAAUAUUUUUAUCAGCGAAUUUGUAAAUACUGGUUCAGGUUUUUAGCACAAAAAACAAAGCUGACUAAACGAGUCUUGUGUUCGGCCGCAGCUGUAUCAGGUGUCUACAACACGAGAGGUGUGGAAAAAGGCGGCGUCUUUCUUUCGUUUUGUUGAUUUUCUGUUUUUAUCUCUUCUUUCUUUUUUUUCAAGCGGAUGGUCUGUAGCUUGGUUUUGGAGUGGGAGGUGGGAGGAGGCUCUCAGUCUGUAUGUCCGUUAGUGCUCGUGAUGUUGCUCUGGAGUCUGUGAUGUUUCUGUAUGGGGUUUGUUUUAUUUUUCUUUUAAACGUAAUUGAUUGUCUUUAAGAAAGAGGAACGAGUUCAACAAAUGUAGAAGAAAAGCGAGAAAACAACUAAAGACAAACUGCUUACAUUCCAGGUUCAGCAUUAGAUGGUGACUCCUGGCUUUUUAAGAAUCAUACCACCUUUGCAAUUUGUUGAAACAUAACUGGGCUUCGUUAGGAGGCCGGAAAAAACCCUUCUGUUGUUAUAGAGGACUUUUUUGAAAUGACGGGAUUCAAAGAAAACGAAUUUAAAGCGUUUUUUGGAAUUUUUUUAACACUGAAAUUUCAUCUGUGAAAAAGUACUUGGUGUCCCCUAAUAAUGCUCUCGGUCUCACUCAAUAAAAAUCCAUCAUUGGAAUUUUCCUCAU
This 1468-nucleotide long non-coding RNA is filed under the name Sinocyclocheilus grahami. RNAcentral describes it as "lncRNA (ENSSGRG00000021287.1)". Lineage: Eukaryota; Metazoa; Chordata; Actinopteri; Cypriniformes; Cyprinidae. The record is from RNAcentral.